Molecule: ribosomal RNA, 505 nt
Filed under: uncultured bacterium
Lineage: Bacteria
Description: partial 16S ribosomal RNA
Rfam family: Bacterial small subunit ribosomal RNA
Source: RNAcentral
AGUGAACGCUGGCGGUAGGCCUAACACAUGCAGUCGAACGGCAGCACAGGAGAGCUUGCUCUCUGGGUGGCGAGUGGCGGACGGGUGAGGAAUACAUCGGAAUCUACUUUUUCGUGGGGGAUAACGUAGGGAAACUUACGCUAAUACCGCAUACGACCUACGGGUGAAAGCAGGGGAUCUUCGGACCUUGCGCGAUUGAAUGAGCCGAUGUCGGAUUAGCUAGUUGGCGGGGUAAAGGCCCACCAAGGCGACGAUCCGUAGCCGGUCUGAGAGGAUGAUCAGCCACACUGGAACUGAGACACGGUCCAGACUCCUACGGGAGGCAGCAGUGGGGAAUAUUGGACAAUGGGCGCAAGCCUGAUCCAGCCAUACCGCGUGGGUGAAGAGGGCCUUCGGGUUGUAAAGCCCUUUUGUUGGGAAAGAAAUCCAGCUGGUUAAUACCCGGUUGGGAUGACGGUACCCAAAGAAUAAGCACCGGCUAACUUCGUGCCAGCCGCCGCCGUAA